RNAcentral lists this ribosomal RNA (253 nucleotides) under uncultured bacterium. RNAcentral describes it as "partial 16S ribosomal RNA". It matches the Rfam family "Bacterial small subunit ribosomal RNA", at positions 524 to 776 of the family's 1533-position model. The record is from RNAcentral.
UACGAAGGGGGCUAGCGUUGCUCGGAAUUACUGGGCGUAAAGGGCGCGUAGGCGGAUCUUUAAGUCAGGGGUGAAAUCCCAAGGCUCAACCUUGGAACUGCCUUUGAUACUGGGGAUCUCGAGUCCGGAAGAGGUGAGUGGAACUGCGAGUGUAGAGGUGAAAUUCGUAGAUAUUCGCAAGAACACCAGUGGCGAAGGCGGCUCACUGGUCCGAUACUGACGCUGAGGUGCGAAAGCGUGGGGAGCAAACAGG